GGGAACAUACCCUUUACUACGGAACAACUCCGGGAAAUUGGAGCUAAUACCGUAUGUGCCCUUCGGGGGAAAGAUUUAUCGGUAAAGGAUUGGCCCGCGUUGGAUUAGCUAGUUGGUGGGGUAAAGGCCUACCAAGGCGACGAUCCAUAGCUGGUCUGAGAGGAUGAUCAGCCACAUUGGGACUGAGACACGGCCCAAACUCCUACGGGAGGCAGCAGUGGGGAAUAUUGGACAAUGGGCGCAAGCCUGAUCCAGCCAUGCCGCGUGAGUGAUGAAGGCCUUAGGGUUGUAAAGCUCUUUCACCGAUGAAGAUAAUGACGGUAGUCGGAGAAGAAGCCCCGGCUAACUUCGUGCCAGCAGCCGCGGUAAUACGAAGGGGGCUAGCGUUGUUCGGAAUUACUGGGCGUAAAGGGCGCGUAGGCGGACAUUUAAGUCAGGGGUGAAAUCCCAGAGCUCAACUCUGGAACUGCCUUUGAUACUGGGUGUCUUGAGUGUGAGAGAGGUAUGUGGAACUCCGAGU
This 520-nucleotide ribosomal RNA is filed under the name uncultured bacterium. RNAcentral's name for it is "bacterial SSU rRNA". It matches the Rfam family "Bacterial small subunit ribosomal RNA", at positions 120 to 674 of the family's 1533-position model. The record is from RNAcentral.